Cyprinus carpio carpio is the source of this 2884-nucleotide long non-coding RNA. The record is from Ensembl. NCBI's taxonomy places the organism in Eukaryota, Metazoa, Chordata, Actinopteri, Cypriniformes, Cyprinidae.
UUUCACUAUAGUAACAAUACAUUUGCAGGCAUUUUGGCCUGCAUUCUGGCUUGUAUGUCUUUAAAAUCUCUGGGCACACGUCCUGCUGGAAUUAGCUGGGUGCUUUCUCUGUUCUGUGGCUCUGUUAUGGCUACUCAUGGUAAUAGGAGAAGGGAGAGUUUCAGAUGGGAAAGUAAUUAUUGACACCCCACACAGCCAACAGUUCAUCCUUCCUCACUGAACUCACUUCACAUGACAGAGUUGUGAUGCCUGUACUGUAAUAGAUUUUAGGGACACACAUUUGUAUAUGUUAAUGUUUUUUUUAUAUAAAUUAGAAAGCAAACAGUAUGAGCAACACAUGCUUUCCAGCCACUUUCAAAGAACACUUUUUUAAAAAUACGAGAUCUUAAAAACGCCAAACAAGUUCACACUUAAAAUGUUUUGACUCUCUAAAGCAUAAUAUUGUAUUUCUUCCUAAGUGACUUGCUUAUUGUUCCUUUUGACGUCAUUAAGGCCUCUGAAUCAGUUUUAAAAAAUGCACUGGAGAGCCAUUUGUGCUGAGUUGGCAGUUCACAUUAACAGUUUUACAUGAAAUGGUUUGUGUUGUCAAAAACCCCCGUGUAGAAUCUUGCCCUGACAAAGAGAGUCCUCACGCUCAUCAAAAAUGUAUUUACUCUGAUUCAAGAUGUAGAUGAGUUUGUAUUUUCACUGAAAGUGAUUUAGAGAAACAUUGUCAUGUGCUCACCAAUGGAUCGUCUGCAGUGAAUGGGUGCCGUCAGAAUGAGACUUUAAACAGCUGAUAAAAACAUCACAAUAAUCCACAAGCUGCGUAUUUUUAAUAAACAAAUCCACCAUUAAGACUGUUGCUUCCGGCUAAAAUAUGGGUCCUUUAUCCAUUAUUUUGCUUUCUCCGGUGAAAAAGUUAUUUUGUCUAAAUCAGGAAAGAAAUAGGCAUAGAUCAAGCUAAAAAUAUAUUAAAGAUUUUUCUUACAAACACACAGCUUUUCACAGGUCAAUUUUUUUUUUUUUUUUUUUGAUGGACUGAAGUCGUGUGGAUUAUUGAUGAUGUUUUUAUUAGCUGUUUGGACUCUCAUUCUGACGGCACCCAUUCACUCCAGAGGCUCCACUGUUGAGAAGCUUCCAGCAACCAGAUGCACUUCAUGGCGAUAGAUAAAGAAAUUCCCAUGCGCCAGGAGUUAAAUAGUCCAACAAGUUAGAGCAUUGUCUACAAUUUCAAGAUGCUCUCGGAGGAAGUAAACAAGCAGACAUGCAGACGUGAAAAUAAGAACCCUCUUCUUCCCCUCCUUCCAUGUGACUGCAGAGGCAUAUGACUUCCAUAACUUCAUCGCUUAUUAACCGCUGAUGGGAGGACACAAUUGAAUGAGUGUUUGUAGAACUUGCCCUAGAUAUUUAGAUCUCAGUCCUUGGCUGUGGCUGUUGGGCAGAUCUUCUCCUGUUUCAGAUAGCUUCACCCUGCCUGACAACAGACCGUGAGGAACUUCACAUGAGAGUCCCAUGUAAGGAGUGAACUAUGGGAUACAAAGGCCAGUUAUGAUCAUUUAAAUCCUUUAGCAAGCACCACAGAAAAACAAAAGACAGAUUAGCAUGAUUUACCAUGCCGGUGUUAUUAAAUUACAUCAUCUAGCCUACAUAUGAGCCAACACAACUGAUAUACAGACAGUGUGCAGAUGUGCGCAGACAGUGGAAUAUCUAUAUGUAAGCACUGUGUAUUCUUUGUCUAUUAAUGAUUUGGUACACCAGGCUUUGUAAGGUCUUGAAUAGAGCUAGUAUUGAUAAGACCAAAAAUACAUAUAGGAAAUAGGCCUAGGCUAUCUUUAAAAAACAAUCUUCACUAUUAGCAUUAAGGCUACCCUUACGAAAAAGAAGUUUAUUCAAGUGUGCUAUUAGUAUACUUCUUUUAAACUAAAAAUAGGAAAGUAUGCUUUUAGUUUACUUUUUAUGUACUUCUCAGAAAUGGGCUUUAUGUACUUCUCAGAAAUAUACUUAAAAUGACAUUUAAGUAUACUUGACUUAUACUUACAAAACGUCUAAAUAUACUUGAACUUUACUUAAGUAUACUUAAUAAAAUAAACUUGAAGUAUACUACUUUUUGGUAAGGGUAUGCAUGAACGACUUUAGUCAUUGUCUGGGCCUGACAUGGAUGUCGUUUAAAAAGUAAUGCAUUUAUAAAAUAUAUAAUUAAAAUAGUUUUUAUAUUAUGUUGUAUAUUUUAAAAUAACGCUGAUUGCUCUGAAACAAUAAAGUGAAAACGAACAAAGGCCUAUUAUUUUCUGUGGUUCGUGUGUAAAUAAAAACUGAUGGUAUGAUGCCACCUAGUGGUUGAUUUCAUGCAUCCAGCAGACCGAUGUCUAGGUUCAUUCAGCUCUUACCUUCAUAUAAAAGACAACAAGCUCUAUUAAUGAACCUGAUGUCAUUUCUGUGUAAUGCUGAGAAUGUGAGUGAGGAUAAGCAUUAGACCUUGAGAAAGGACGCACACCAUUUAUGAGGAGACUUUUAAGGACAAGAGGUGGGUGGGAGCUAGAUUUCCUCCUUGGCUUAGAAAAGACAACAUAAUCUUUGCCAGCUUCAGAAUUCCCAUCAUUCCCUGGAUGUUAACACAUUCAUUUUAGGUAAAGGAAAUUGCAAACCAGACCAGCUAUGGUCAUAUUCAAAGCUCCAGAAUGAUCCAUUCAUCAUGUUCUGUUUCUAUGCUGAGUAAUAGGCUACCUUUUUAAUGCUACAUUAGUCUAGGCAUAAACUGUGUAUUAAAACUUUCUAUCUUUCCUUUGGGACUUACAAAGUUAUAAGAGUUUGAAAGUAUUCAGAUUAAUUACAUGAAGUUUUAUUAUAUUUAAACUGUUUUCACAUUGUCCACAACCAUAUUCAAAAGAUCACUGCCUUUUUG